This 164-nucleotide ribosomal RNA is filed under the name uncultured bacterium. RNAcentral describes it as "partial 16S ribosomal RNA". It matches the Rfam family "Bacterial small subunit ribosomal RNA", at positions 355 to 511 of the family's 1533-position model. The record is from RNAcentral.
UAGGGAAUCUUCCACAAUGGGCGCAAGCCUGAUGGAGCAACACCGCGUGAGUGAAGAAGGGUUUCGGAUCGUAAAACUCUGUUGUUAGAGAAGAACAAGGGUGAGAGUAACUGUUCACCCCUUGACAGUAUCUAACCAGAAAGCCACGGCUAACUACGUGCCAG